UCGAGAUCAUUCUUGGAGCGCACCGCGAGUACUCACCGUUCCUUUCGCCUACCUCCCUCCCAUUACGAGGGCCACCCCACUUCCAACCGGGGACGAACCCUAGACUUGCAUCCUGCCCUCCUCCGACCCCGCGACAAUGGCCGAUGCGUACUGGAGGUACGGCGAUGCGCGCCACCAGGCGGCUGCGGCGGCGAUGGCCCCUCCCCCCGCCACUCUCAAGCGACCUCGUGCGGAGUACCAGUAUGUGCCUAGUGGUUCCGACGUGUUUGCCUAUUACCCUCGUGAGGAUGAAGGGACUGCGCAUCCUACUGUCAGGGAUACUGAGUCCCUUGGGGCUUCAUAUGAUCGUUACUUACGCAAUGGGAUUUCUUCUUAUGGUGCUGGUGAGUCUGUUAGGCCUGUGGGUGGAGGAAUUAAUAACCAACCUAUUGAUGAUCGACGAAUCAUCAGUAUCGGAAGCUUGGAUGGUCGGAGUGCUGGAUAUGGUGGCAGAAGGCCUGAACCUCCGCUUCCUCCAGAUGCUUCAAAUACUUUAUUUGUGGAGGGCCUCCCUGCUGACUGUACACGCAGGGAAGUCUCUCACAUUUUCCGCCCUUUUGUAGGGUUCCAAGAGGUGAGACUUGUGAACAAGGAAUCCAGACAUCCUGGGGCUGAUCCACUUGUCCUAUGCUUUGUUGAUUUCGCCACUACAGCCCAAGCUGCAAUUGCAUUGGAAGCUUUGCAAGUUCUGGUCUUGGUAAUCCUAAAGCAAAGAUAGUAUGAGAGUAUGAGGUUCAUAUUACUGAGACAUUGAGAUCGAACAAGUACAUUAAGGACCAGUGUGAUUUGAACUGUCAAGAUCAACCCCUGCAAAUUUUGGGAUCCGGGAUGGCCAAGACCAGAACAUUCUACUGCCUCAGCAAUAGGCUUCUAUGCUCUACAUUUACCGCCUCACGAAUAGGGGAAACAGAAAGAGUAUGUUGACCACCCAGUACAUUCACCACUAGGACACCUGAAGCUAUGGUGCUUACACUGUUCCGAGAAGAUACAUGAUGGCCUGGAGUUGUUGAAGUCUUAUCUAUGCCUGAUACAGGUCAUAUUUGCAAAACAGUCAAACGGAGAGGUUGAAAACCGAUGUUGUGUCGGCAUACAAUGGAAGUUUUUGGAAUGGUCGUUUGGUAUGACGUCUCUCUCGAAACUAUUUGCAACCCAUACUGAGGAGGUGAAGGAGAUUUCACGUUUGGUGGACUUUUCUGCUUGUCGUGUUUUGAGGUAGUAAUGCUAUCUCUCUUUUCCUCGAUUAUGAUUGGUGCAUUAGGACGGCUGGUUGGGUCAUCUAUUUAUAAUACCUACUCUAAUAUCGAACUUCAUAAUCCAGCCAUUUUUGCAACGAGGAAAAUUUACAUCCCAAGUCUUACUCAUUUUCAUCAUAAAGAACGCUCGAAUACAUUUAUGAAAGGGAAAGUUUGUAUGCGUUUGUACGUUUAUAAUAUUAAAAUUUAAGUUUAGCAUGUA
RNA transcript from Musa acuminata AAA Group (dessert banana), 1494 nucleotides. It is a transcript of the gene named RNA-binding protein 1-like, with no coding region annotated. The transcript has 8 exons. NCBI's taxonomy places the organism in Eukaryota, Viridiplantae, Streptophyta, Magnoliopsida, Zingiberales, Musaceae. The record is from RefSeq and is a predicted model, not a curated record.